RNAcentral lists this ribosomal RNA (258 nucleotides) under uncultured prokaryote. RNAcentral describes it as "partial 16S ribosomal RNA". It matches the Rfam family "Bacterial small subunit ribosomal RNA", at positions 524 to 782 of the family's 1533-position model. The record is from RNAcentral.
CACGUAGGGGCGAGCGUUGUCCGGAAUUACUGGGCGUAAAGGGCGCGCAGGCUGUUAUGCGAGUCUGCUGUGAAAUGUACCGGCUCAACCGGUGCCUUGCGGCGGAUACUGCAUAGCUGGAGUACUGGAGAGGGAAGUGGAAUUCCCGGUGUAGCGGUGAAAUGCGUAGAUAUCAGGAGGAACUCCGGUGGCGAAGGCGACUUCCUGGCACAAGACUGACGCUCAUGUGCGAAAGCUAGGGUAGCGAACGGGAUUAGA